This is a long non-coding RNA of Mirounga angustirostris (Northern elephant seal), 1220 nucleotides long. RefSeq lists it as uncharacterized. The transcript is spliced from 3 exons. The record is from RefSeq and is a predicted model, not a curated record. Lineage: Eukaryota; Metazoa; Chordata; Mammalia; Carnivora; Phocidae.
GAAGAGCAACAAGAUGGUGAGCUUGCUCCAACCAGCUCCAUGCCGUGCGUACAGCCCCCGCACUGGGACCCAGGGGAGGACAGCUUGCUGCCAGUCAGCAGACUACUCAUUCCCAGACCCUGAGGGUCUCCUUGCUUCAUCGGUGGAUGAGGCUCCCAAGGAAGCCCACCUGAAAGGCUGUGGCUGAGGAGUGGGAUUGUGGGGCAGGAGCCCGCUUUGUUCCCUCAGCUGUAAAGCAAGCAGAGAGAGGACCUUCUGCAGCUCAGGAAGAAAAAUGCUGUUAAGAAUUCUGCCCCACUUCUUGAAUCUGGACUGCCAGGUGACUGCUCUUUUGACCACAGCGUCUAACGAUGAGCUAUGCCUUACUAGCCCCUGCCACUCAUUCGGCUGCAGUGGAUUUGGAUCACUGGUCAAGCACCAGGAUACCUACACCCCCCUGCAAAAUAACGUCUGCUCACUUAUGUGUCAACAUGUGGCUUUGCAUUUGCUCCCCAAUCAGAAAACUGUGGUUUGCUUCUUUUUUUUCCUUCCUUUUAAAAAGGUAUCUUGUUUUUUAAGACUUGUGGUUGAAUGUUUUUGGCUUCAUUUUGAUAAUUAACAGAGAAGGCAAGUUACAUUCAUCAUUUUAGUUCUCAUACGGACUUUGUUUGGGUUCCCAGGCAAUCUCUAGUCAUUAAGGGAUAAAACUCAACUUCUUUCCAAACCACGAAGGGGCGAAGAGAUUCUUCCUGGCCUUGCUGGUUAAUUAAGCCGGAGAAUAGGCUUGGAUGACAGGGCAUGCUUUGUUUCCCUGAACUUCUGAAUGGCUUUGUGUUCUCAGAAGCCCCAACAGAUGCUGGCCUGGAAUCCAAUCAGUCUCCUGGUGAGAAUCAAGGAAACAGGGCUGAUCCCAGAUUUGAUGGGAAUGGGACAACUGGAACCAAAUCUCUGGCUGUGGCUGCCUGAGGAAAUCGGAGGGAUUUGUAUUUGCCUGACCUUCCUUUUGAACUUUAUUUUGAGCAAACACAGAACGCUUCUCAGGGUGGAAGACGACAAUUCAGCAAGAAAACAAGGGGGCAUGUGGCAUGCUACGGCACCCAAACAAGCAACAGGCAGUCAUGCAUUCACUUACUGUGGGGUCGGUCCAGAGAGAGCAUCUUGAACACUCCUGGCAAGGGGCUCCCGGCGAGCGAGGAUGCUGGCAGAAAUGGUCAUAUCCACUGAUAGAUACUCGACAGAGG